UAGGAAAUCUUCGGCAAUGGGGGCAACCCUGACCGAGCAACGCCGCGUGAGUGAAGAAGGUUUUCGGAUCGUAAAGCUCUGUUGUAAGAGAAGAACGUGUGUGAGAGUGGAAAGUUCACACAGUGACGGUAACUUACCAGAAAGGGACGGCUAACUACGUGCCGG
This 165-nucleotide ribosomal RNA is filed under the name uncultured bacterium. RNAcentral describes it as "partial 16S rRNA". It matches the Rfam family "Bacterial small subunit ribosomal RNA", at positions 355 to 511 of the family's 1533-position model. The record is from RNAcentral.